CGCCGUCCCAGAUAGGCCUGAGGCAUGGGCCCGGCCCAGAGUUUUUAAUCAAAGCCCAAAACAAAGGCUACGCAUCUCUGAGCCCGCGCAAGACAAGCCCACACACGAUUGGGCUCGGUUGGCCCAAAUUGAUCGAAACCCUACCCGGUGAGUCAUCAGGGACGGCGUCGGGGGCCGCGAGACUGGGUGGCAUCGUCGGUGGCGAUUGGACGACGACGGAGGUCUGGUGCAGCGACGACGUCAAGGGGGUCAUGGUUGGUUUGUUGGGGACGGAGUCGGGGGUGAACGAUGACGGCAGCUGACCUGGUCCUGAAGUGGAUGGUGGUGGCACAAUUCGAAGCAGCUGGCCUGACGCUAGGUCAUAGUGACAGCGUCGAUCGACUCCCAGAUCUGGCCUCUACUGUCCCUCGCCCUCAGAUCUGGGUCUCCGGACCUCCUCCGAUCUCCUCCUCUCUCUGAAUCCGACCCUCCUCACCGGCCAACCUCGGAUCUCAGCCUGCUGGGCCUCCUUUGAUAUCUCUCAGGGGAGGUUAUCGAAGCUGGCAAUCCGUCACCCUCUUCUGGCAUGUCCCCUUUGACCGAAAUUUAGGUGUCAACAUCCAUUAGUCUACACGAUUGGGAUUAUUCUAGAAAGCUUGAAUGAUGAAAGCUAAACAAUCUCACAACGUGCAAAUUCAACCCGCCCGUUGUGAUACCGUAUCCAUAUACCAAUAAGUCAACGGAGAAAUAGAGACUGAGACAAAAGAACAGUCGGGAUUUCAAGAUUACCAAAGCCAUUGUCCUAAAGAUUAGCAGCUUAACCAACAAAUCACACAUAAAAGCAUACGUUACAUAAGUACGUAUACGCAUAUAUACAUUCUUAUAUGUAUGUGCACGCAUGUAUGGUUGUUGACUUAUUUGAGAUGCCUGGCAAUCAAGGGUCAUGCACAACUCAUAUCCACCGAAGAACACAUCUGGAUGUGUGUGCAUGUGAAGGAAAAGCCUGGAGCAAUGCGAACAAGCUAGCACAACCAAUUAUCUGUAGAGUAUCUCUGCGUCUUCCGGCGUGUACAUCGCCUUUUCCGUUGCAGCUCUCACGAGUUGGGAAAUUCCAGAGAAAAGCACGAAUGGUUCACCGAUCAUCUCUCUCUCUCUCUCUCUCUCUCUCUCUCUCUCUCUCUCUCGCUCUCUCUCGC
Molecule: long non-coding RNA, 1175 nt
Filed under: Eucalyptus grandis
Lineage: Eukaryota; Viridiplantae; Streptophyta; Magnoliopsida; Myrtales; Myrtaceae
Description: long non-coding RNA (EGRA_LNC002229)
Source: RNAcentral